Molecule: ribosomal RNA, 404 nt
Filed under: uncultured Alphaproteobacteria bacterium
Lineage: Bacteria; Pseudomonadati; Pseudomonadota; Alphaproteobacteria
Description: bacterial SSU rRNA
Rfam family: Bacterial small subunit ribosomal RNA
Source: RNAcentral
GUGGGGAAUAUUGGACAAUGGGCGAAAGCCUGAUCCAGCAAUGCCGCGUGAGUGAUGAAGGCCUUAGGGUUGUAAAGCUCUUUUACCCGGGAUGAUAAUGACAGUACCGGGAGAAUAAGCUCCGGCUAACUUCGUGCCAGCAGCCGCGGUAAUACGAGGGGAGCUAGCGUUAUUCGGAAUUACUGGGCGUAAAGCGCACGUAGGCGGCUUUGUAAGUUAGAGGUGAAAGCCCGGGGCUCAACUCCGGAAUUGCCUUUAAGACUGCAUCGCUUGAUCCAGGAGAGGUGAGUGGAAUUCCGAGUGUAGAGGUGAAAUUCGUAGAUAUUCGGAAGAACACCAGUGGCGAAGGCGGCUCACUGGACUGGUAUUGACGCUGAGGUGCGAAAGCGUGGGGAGCAAACAGG